UCUGAGGAGAACCGUUUAAGGUUCCUUCAUUGGGAUCUACACAAGCAUACUCGAAGAAAAGCAACAAAUAUUCUGUUACUUCUAGGCAAAGUGGCUGCAUCUGCUUUGACACUGACAGGUUUCUUUUACUGUCAAGUAACACCUGCCUUGAGAACUGAAGGAUGUACAAUUUGGCCUUCCUUUGUAAAUACUGAGAAUGGCCACCUAUCUCCCCAGAACACAGGCAGCAAUGAUUAUGAGGAUGCCAAUGAUGUAGAGAGGAAAUUUAACGGAGGUAAUGAUGUUGCUAAUGGAAAUCAUUCUAUCAAGCCUCCAAUGUUCCAGCAAGGUGUGCUCCGGACCAAUUGCAUA
RNAcentral lists this unclassified non-coding RNA (351 nucleotides) under Hevea brasiliensis (rubber tree). Lineage: Eukaryota; Viridiplantae; Streptophyta; Magnoliopsida; Malpighiales; Euphorbiaceae. The record is from RNAcentral.